UCAGGAUGAACGCUGGCGGCGUGCCUAACACAUGCAAGUCGAACGGAGAUUUAACGCUGAUGAAGCUUCGGCAGAUUCUUGUUAAAUCUUAGUGGCGGACGGGUGAGUAACGCGUGGGCAACCUGCCUCAUACUGGGGGAUAACAGCUGGAAACGACUGUUAAUACCGCAUAAGCGCACGGUAUCGCAUGAUACAGUGUGAAAAACUCCGGUGGUAUGAGAUGGGCCCGCGUCAGAUUAGCCAGUUGGCAGGGUAACGGCCUACCAAAGCGACGAUCUGUAGCCGGCCUGAGAGGGCGGACGGCCACAUUGGGACUGAGACACGGCCCAAACUCCUACGGGAGGCAGCAGUGGGGGAUAUUGCACAAUGGAGGAAACUCUGAUGCAGCGACGCCGCGUGAGUGAAGAAGUAUUUCGGUAUGUAAAGCUCUAUCAGCAGGGAAGAAAGACUCGUAAGAGAGAUGACGGUACCUGACUAAGAAGCCCCGGCUAACUACGUGCCAGCAGCCGCGGUAAUACGUAGGGGGCAAGCGUUAUCCGGAUUUACUGGGUGUAAAGGGAGCGCAGACGGCUUAGCAAGUCUGAAGUGAAACCCCACGGCUCAACCGUGGGCUUGCUUUGGAAACUGUUAGGCUAGAGUACUGGAGAGGUAAGCGGAAUUCCUAGUGUAGCGGUGAAAUGCGUAGAUAUUAGGAGGAACAUCGGUGGCGAAGGCGGCUUACUGGACAGCAACUGACGUGAGGCUCGAAGG
This 750-nucleotide ribosomal RNA is filed under the name Butyrivibrio sp. CA20. Its description in RNAcentral is "bacterial SSU rRNA". It matches the Rfam family "Bacterial small subunit ribosomal RNA", at positions 24 to 759 of the family's 1533-position model. The record is from RNAcentral. Lineage: Bacteria; Bacillati; Bacillota; Clostridia; Lachnospirales; Lachnospiraceae.